CGAAAGAAAAGAGUGGCGAACGGGUGAGUAACACGUGGGUAACCUGCCCAUCAGAAGGGGAUAACACUUGGAAACAGGUGCUAAUACCGUAUAACAAGUAAAACCGCAUGGUUUUACUUUGAAAGGCGCUUUUGCGUCACUGAUGGAUGGACCCGCGGUGCAUUAGCUAGUUGGUGAGGUAACGGCUCACCAAGGCAACGAUGCAUAGCCGACCUGAGAGGGUGAUCGGCCACAUUGGGACUGAGACACGGCCCAAACUCCUACGGGAGGCAGCAGUAGGGAAUCUUCGGCAAUGGACGAAAGUCUGACCGAGCAACGCCGCGUGAGUGAAGAAGGUUUUCGGAUCGUAAAACUCUGUUGUUAGAGAAGAACAAGGAUGAGAGUAAAAAGUUCAUCCCUUGACGGUAUCUAACCAGAAAGCCACGGCUAACUACGUGCCAGCAGCCGCGGUAAUACGUAGGUGGCAAGCGUUGUCCGGAUUUAUUGGGCGUAAAGCGAGCGCAGGCGGUUUCUUAAGUCUGAUGUGAAAGCCCCCGGCUCAACCGGGGAGGGUCAUUGGAAACUGGGAAACUUGAGUGCAGAAGAGGAGAGUGGAAUUCCAUGUGUAGCGGUGAAAUGCGUAGAUAUAUGGAGGAACACCAGUGGCGAAGGCGGCUCUCUGGUCUGUAACUGACGCUGAGGCUCGAAAGCGUGGGGAGCAAACAGGAUUAGAUACCCUGGUAGUCCACGCCGUAAACGAUGAGUGCUAAGUGUUGGAGGGUUUCCGCCCUUCAGUGCUGCAGCUAACGCAUUAAGCACUCCGCCUGGGGAGUACGACCGCAAGGUUGAAACUCAAAGGAAUUGACGGGGGCCCGCACAAGCGGUGGAGCAUGUGGUUUAAUUCGAAGCAACGCGAAGAACCUUACCAGGUCUUGACAUCCUUUGACCACUCUAGAGAUAGAGCUUCCCCUUCGGGGGCAAAGUGACAGGUGGUGCAUGGUUGUCGUCAGCUCGUGUCGUGAGAUGUUGGGUUAAGUCCCGCAACGAGCGCAACCCUUAUUGUUAGUUGCCAUCAUUUAGUUGGGCACUCUAGCGAGACUGCCGGUGACAAACCGGAGGAAGGUGGGGAUGACGUCAAAUCAUCAUGCCCCUUAUGACCUGGGCUACACACGUGCUACAAUGGGAAGUACAACGAGUCGCGAAGUCGCGAGGCUAAGCUAAUCUCUUAAAGCUUCUCUCAGUUCGGAUUGUAGGCUGCAACUCGCCUACAUGAAGCCGGAAUCGCUAGUA
This 1269-nucleotide ribosomal RNA is filed under the name Enterococcus devriesei. Its description in RNAcentral is "bacterial SSU rRNA". It matches the Rfam family "Bacterial small subunit ribosomal RNA", at positions 83 to 1340 of the family's 1533-position model. The record is from RNAcentral. Lineage: Bacteria; Bacillati; Bacillota; Bacilli; Lactobacillales; Enterococcaceae.